CACUGAGCUCUGGGUGGAUUACGGUGAAGGAGGCCUGGCGGUCGGUCCCAGCCAGUUUGGGCCGGAGAAGAGCUUCUCUGGACAGGCACCUUGUCCCCAAAGGACGGCACAGAGGGCCAGCUCCGGACCUCAGGCGUGUGGCUCCUCUCCUUUGUGAGCACUAAACCGGUUCCUCGUUCUACGGCGCCCUUCUCACCGCAGUGGCUGUUGCAGGCAAGGGCCGCUCACUCCUCCCCUGCACUCCUCACUGGCUGAUAAAAGUGGGCUGCACCGAACACGUCGUUGUCUCUUGCGCGAACUGAGGCACUGACCCCCUGGUUCCCCUGCGCCUGCAAAUUUCUUUUUCUUUAUCCCUCAUCGUACCCUGGAGCAGGCAACUGAGCGUCUGAUCAGUGCUCGGUAAAAGUGACGUCUGGGGCGGCAGCAGCCGUUUUGCAAUCAGAAGGCAAGGAGCAGGGGGUCAGCCGGACACACAGCCGUGGAAGGACCAACGAGAAAAGACUGGCACAGUGGGAGCGUGAACAAAACGGGCAGCUGCCUACUUGUGCAUUUACUUUCUUUUUCUUUGGUUUUGUUUCUGGCUCCAGAGUUUUUGUUUAUUAAAUAAGCAAACAGCCGGAGUUUGGCUCAGUGGUUCUGCCUCCUGCCUUACAAGUGCAAGGUCCCGAGUUCGAUUCCUGCUACCAAAAAUAAAUAAAUAAGCCAAAAGCCGUUAGCCUGGGGGUCUCCAUGGAGCCCCUACCUAAGAAAGCCAACUUUAAUUACCAGGCAAAUCAACUGGA
RNAcentral lists this long non-coding RNA (782 nucleotides) under Fukomys damarensis (Damara mole-rat). Its description in RNAcentral is "lncRNA (ENSFDAG00000029901.1)". The record is from RNAcentral. Lineage: Eukaryota; Metazoa; Chordata; Mammalia; Rodentia; Bathyergidae.